UCGUCACCACCCAACUCCAGUUAAUUCGAUCUCGAGAUGAAAAUCUAUGUCAACAGUAAAUAUAUCUACCUGUUGGACUUGAUCUUUCCUAAUAAACAUAGGAAACAAACCGACCUUUGAAUGUAACAGGUAACCAAGUAUCACCAAUAAAGAUACGCCCAUUAAGCAAUUUUUAUAGACUCAUGGAUUUGCUAUAACAUGGGUUUUGGAGAAUC
RNAcentral lists this long non-coding RNA (215 nucleotides) under Elaeis guineensis (African oil palm). RNAcentral describes it as "long non-coding RNA (EGUI_LNC033002)". Lineage: Eukaryota; Viridiplantae; Streptophyta; Magnoliopsida; Arecales; Arecaceae. The record is from RNAcentral.